RNAcentral lists this ribosomal RNA (254 nucleotides) under uncultured bacterium. RNAcentral describes it as "partial 16S ribosomal RNA". It matches the Rfam family "Bacterial small subunit ribosomal RNA", at positions 524 to 776 of the family's 1533-position model. The record is from RNAcentral.
UACGUAGGGAGCAAGCGUUGUCCGGAUUUAUUGGGCGUAAAGAGCUCGUAGGCGGUUUAGAAAGUCAGGUGUGAAACCUCCAGGCUCAACCUGGAGACGCCACUUGAUACUUCUAUGACUUGAGUUCGGUAGGGGACCAUGGAAUUCCCGGUGUAGCGGUGAAAUGCGCAGAUAUCAGGAGGAACACCGAUGGCGAAGGCAGUGGUCUGGGCCGAUACUGACGCUGAGGAGCGAAAGCGUGGGGAGCGAACAGG